Molecule: ribosomal RNA, 261 nt
Filed under: uncultured prokaryote
Description: partial 16S ribosomal RNA
Rfam family: Bacterial small subunit ribosomal RNA
Source: RNAcentral
UACGUAGGGUGCGAGCGUUGUCCGGAAUUAUUGGGCGUAAAGAGCGCGCAGGUGGUUGAUUAAGUCUGAUGUGAAAGCCCACGGCUUAACCGUGGAGGGUCAUUGGAAACUGGGUCACUUGAAUAUAGAAGAGGAAAGUGGAAUUCCAUGUGUAGCGGUGAAAUGCGUAGAUAUAUGGAGGAACACCAGUGGCGAAGGCGACUUUCUGGUCUAUUAUUGACGCUGAGGCUCGAAAGCAUGGGUAGCAAACAGGAUUAGAUA